CAAAGGAAGGUCCGAGGACCAGAGUGAAGACUCCAGGCAGAACAAACAGCACUCCUGGCUAAGCCCAAUUUGCAUAGGGCAGGCCCAGGUGGAGGAAAAAACAUAUAAAAGGAGGAGCCAAAGCACUUUCUCUUGGACUCUCUCUCCUGCGUGCAUGCGCUCUUUUCUCUCUCUCUCUCUCUCUCUCACUCUCCUGCUAUCUUCUAAAUAAAAUAGAGCUGUAACACUGAUUUGCCUAAGAGCUGUAGCACGGUUGGUCCAAGACCCAAGACCUGUGACACGCCGAGGGCUUUAAUGUCCAUCACUCCAAAUCUUUGUUGUGAUAAGACAAAGAACCGAGGAACAUACACUCGCGUGACAUCUAUGGUGCCGUGACUCGGAUAUAACCUGGCUGAAACAAUCUCUGCGUGGAAGAGGCCAAGCACAACAGGAGCCCAACUCAGCGAAGCUCCUGUGCUACAAGCGGAAGGCGAAGAAACCCAGCACAAGGGAAGGCCCAUCGUGCUGGAAAAUAGGACAGCAAAAAACGAACUCAGCAGAAAGCUCACGUGGCCCAGUCUCAGAUUCCAGAAGACCUCCGGUUAAGAUGGGAAAUAACCAAUCCACUUCCUGGCAGACGCCCUUGAAAUGUAUCCUUGAUAACUGGAAGCUGUUUGACCCUCUAGCUCUAAGGAGAAGUCGUUUGAAAUUCUUUUGUGCCACUGCGUGGCCACAGUAUCCACUGGGGGACGAGGAACACUGGCCUGAGGAUGGAACUUUAAAUUACAAUACCAUCCUGCAAUUAGAAUUAUUCUGCAAAAGAUGAGGGAAAUGGACAGAGAUCCCUUAUGUCCAAAUUUUCUUCCGACUUAGAGAUAUGAAGGAACUCUGUCUUAAGUAUGGGAUUGUAGUACGCCCUAAAAGUGAGCCCACUAGGCAAAUGGUGUUAGGCACAGGCAACCAAGAAAA
Bubalus bubalis (water buffalo) is the source of this 948-nucleotide long non-coding RNA. RefSeq lists it as uncharacterized. NCBI's taxonomy places the organism in Eukaryota, Metazoa, Chordata, Mammalia, Artiodactyla, Bovidae. The record is from RefSeq and is a predicted model, not a curated record. The transcript has 2 exons.